This 514-nucleotide long non-coding RNA is filed under the name Bos taurus (domestic cattle). Its description in RNAcentral is "long non-coding RNA NONBTAT011389". The record is from RNAcentral. Lineage: Eukaryota; Metazoa; Chordata; Mammalia; Artiodactyla; Bovidae.
UUGUUUAAUUUUUGUCUUAAAGUUUUCCAUCAUGUUGCUUUUUUAUAUAAAAAUUAAAAUCUUUUCAUCCUAAAUAAUGCUUCUGGUAAGGACAUUUCUUUGUUGUACCUGGUAAUUUAUUGUUAAAAUAUGGCUGCAUCAGUACUUUGUAAUUGAGUCUUGUAAGAUAAAUAAUACUUUAGUAUUCAAGCUGAAGUAAGUUAUUGUUGUACCUUCCAAUAUAGUUUUUUUCCAUAGGCUCUUAUUUCCCUUCAUUGACCCAAACCAGUCUUCUUUUCUUUUUCCUCUUGUUGUCAUAUUCCUUUCAAAUAUUUGUUAGAAUCAACCCUUAACAGCCUCUUUAACCAACCCGAUUAUUAUUUUUUUAUCCUGGGUCACUGUGGCUUAUAAGCUUCCCAGUAUUGAAAUAUAAAAAGAACUGGAUUUAUUAAAAUCAAAUGUAAUCCCUUUUUGCAUGUCAUGUCAAGUUUAGAAAGUUAUUAAUGUGGGUAAUCUUGCCAGCCAGCGGUUCUUC